Molecule: ribosomal RNA, 491 nt
Filed under: uncultured bacterium
Lineage: Bacteria
Description: partial 16S ribosomal RNA
Rfam family: Bacterial small subunit ribosomal RNA
Source: RNAcentral
AGUGAACGCUGGCGGUAGGCCUAACACAUGCAAGUCGAACGGCAGCACAGUAAGAGCUUGCUCUUACGGGUGGCGAGUGGCGGACGGGUGAGGAAUACAUCGGAAUCUACUUUUUCGGGGGGGAUAACGUAGGGAAACUUACGCUAAUACCGCAUACGACCUACGGGUGAAAGCAGGGGAUCGUCGGACCUUGCGCGAUUGAAUGAGCCGAUGUCGGAUUAGCUAGUUGGCGGGGUAAAGGCCCACCAAGGCGACGAUCCGUAGCUGGUCUGAGAGGAUGAUCAGCCACACUGGAACUGAGACACGGUCCAGACUCCUACGGACGGCCGAAGUGGGGACUAUUGGACAAUGGGCGCAAGCCUGAUCCAGCCAUACCGCGUGGGUGAAGAAGGCCUCGGGUUGUAAAGCCCUUUUGUUGGGAAAGAAAAGCAGCAGGUUAAUACCCCGCUGUUCUGACGGUACCCAAAGAAUAAGCACCGGCUAACUUCGUG